RNAcentral lists this ribosomal RNA (371 nucleotides) under Slackia equolifaciens. Its description in RNAcentral is "bacterial SSU rRNA". It matches the Rfam family "Bacterial small subunit ribosomal RNA", at positions 1 to 374 of the family's 1533-position model. Lineage: Bacteria; Bacillati; Actinomycetota; Coriobacteriia; Eggerthellales; Eggerthellaceae. The record is from RNAcentral.
ACGGAGAGUUUGAUCCUGGCUCAGGAUGAACGCUGGCGGCGUGCCUAACACAUGCAAGUCGAACGAGUAAGGCGCCUUCGGGCGCGCAUAGAGUGGCGAACGGGUGAGUAACACGUGACCAACCUGCCCCCCGCCCCGGGACAACCGCCCGAAAGGGCGGCUAAUACCGGGCGAACCGGAGAGGACGCAUGCCCCCUCCGGCAAAGCGUAUGCGGCGGGGGAUGGGGUCGCGGCCCAUCAGGUAGACGGCGGGGUGACGGCCCACCGUGCCUACAACGGGUAGCCGGGCUGAGAGGCCGAUCGGCCACAUUGGGACUGAGACACGGCCCAGACUCCUACGGGAGGCAGCAGUGGGGAAUUUUGCGCAAUGG